RNAcentral lists this ribosomal RNA (492 nucleotides) under uncultured bacterium. Its description in RNAcentral is "partial 16S ribosomal RNA". It matches the Rfam family "Bacterial small subunit ribosomal RNA", at positions 29 to 507 of the family's 1533-position model. The record is from RNAcentral.
AGUGAACGCUGGCGGUAGGCCUAACACAUGCAAGUCGAACGGCAGCACAGUAAGAGCUUGCUCUUACGGGUGGCGAGUGGCGGACGGGUGAGGAAUACAUCGGAAUCUACUUUUUCGUGGGGGAUAACGUAGGGAAACUUACACUAAUACCGCAUACGACCUACGGGUGAAAGCAGGGGAUCUUCGGACCUUGCGCGAUUGAAUGAGCCGAUGUCGGAUUAGCUAGUUGGCGGGGUAAAGGCCCACCCAGGCGCCGAUCCGUAGCUGGUCUGAGAGGAUGAUCGGCCACACUGGAACUGAGACACGGUCCAGACGCCUACGGGAGGCAGCAGUGGGGAAUAGUGGACAAUGGGCGCAAGCCUGAUCCAGCCAUACCGCGUGGGUGAAGAAGGCCUUCGGGUUGUAAAGCCCUUUUGUUGGGAAAGAAAAGCAGCAGGUUAAUACCCCGCUGUUCUGACGGUACCCAAAGAAUAAGCACCGGCUAACUUCGUG